GACCAUGAAGAAUCAGUAAGUCCUCAACAGAGUUAGCCAUCUCACCAGAACAUAAUUGGGAAGUUUCCAAAAUAAAAGAUUUGAUCUGGAUCGAAAGUGCCCUCUCAGAGACAGAAGCCGCAUCAAAUACAACUCUGUUACGAAUAUUCCAGAUGCUCCAAAUUGUGGACAUAACACCCAUUCGCCAAAGAUUUACAACCUGCUUGCUAGUCUGCACCUUCAUUGCCCAGAGAAGCAGACUCCCAAUGUCGUGAAUCAACGGACUAUCCACCCUGAACCAGCCGAAAAGGGAGCGCCAGAUUUGUCGAGCAAAAGUACAGUCCCAAAAAAGAUGAUCAAUAUCCU
This 345-nucleotide long non-coding RNA is filed under the name Salvia miltiorrhiza (redroot sage). RNAcentral's name for it is "long non-coding RNA (SMIL_LNC013852)". Lineage: Eukaryota; Viridiplantae; Streptophyta; Magnoliopsida; Lamiales; Lamiaceae. The record is from RNAcentral.